Molecule: long non-coding RNA, 90 nt
Organism: Etheostoma spectabile (orangethroat darter)
Lineage: Eukaryota; Metazoa; Chordata; Actinopteri; Perciformes; Percidae
Exons: 3
Source: RefSeq, a predicted model, not a curated record
AUAAAUGAAAAAAUAAUAUCUCUCCCAUGUAGUGAAAAUAGGACAAGGGGUCUUAUAUCCAAAACUAUUUUGUUUUUAAUUGAAGAAAAA